Molecule: ribosomal RNA, 2924 nt
Filed under: Escherichia coli
Lineage: Bacteria; Pseudomonadati; Pseudomonadota; Gammaproteobacteria; Enterobacterales; Enterobacteriaceae
Description: LSU rRNA
Rfam family: Bacterial large subunit ribosomal RNA
Source: RNAcentral
GGUUAAGCGACUAAGCGUACACGGUGGAUGCCCUGGCAGUCAGAGGCGAUGAAGGACGUGCUAAUCUGCGAUAAGCGUCGGUAAGGUGAUAUGAACCGUUAUAACCGGCGAUUUCCGAAUGGGGAAACCCAGUGUGUUUCGACACACUAUCAUUAACUGAAUCCAUAGGUUAAUGAGGCGAACCGGGGGAACUGAAACAUCUAAGUACCCCGAGGAAAAGAAAUCAACCGAGAUUCCCCCAGUAGCGGCGAGCGAACGGGGAGCAGCCCAGAGCCUGAAUCAGUGUGUGUGUUAGUGGAAGCGUCUGGAAAGGCGCGCGAUACAGGGUGACAGCCCCGUACACAAAAAUGCACAUGCUGUGAGCUCGAUGAGUAGGGCGGGACACGUGGUAUCCUGUCUGAAUAUGGGGGGACCAUCCUCCAAGGCUAAAUACUCCUGACUGACCGAUAGUGAACCAGUACCGUGAGGGAAAGGCGAAAAGAACCCCGGCGAGGGGAGUGAAAAAGAACCUGAAACCGUGUACGUACAAGCAGUGGGAGCACGCUUAGGCGUGUGACUGCGUACCUUUUGUAUAAUGGGUCAGCGACUUAUAUUCUGUAGCAAGGUUAACCGAAUAGGGGAGCCGAAGGGAAACCGAGUCUUAACUGGGCGUUAAGUUGCAGGGUAUAGACCCGAAACCCGGUGAUCUAGCCAUGGGCAGGUUGAAGGUUGGGUAACACUAACUGGAGGACCGAACCGACUAAUGUUGAAAAAUUAGCGGAUGACUUGUGGCUGGGGGUGAAAGGCCAAUCAAACCGGGAGAUAGCUGGUUCUCCCCGAAAGCUAUUUAGGUAGCGCCUCGUGAAUUCAUCUCCGGGGGUAGAGCACUGUUUCGGCAAGGGGGUCAUCCCGACUUACCAACCCGAUGCAAACUGCGAAUACCGGAGAAUGUUAUCACGGGAGACACACGGCGGGUGCUAACGUCCGUCGUGAAGAGGGAAACAACCCAGACCGCCAGCUAAGGUCCCAAAGUCAUGGUUAAGUGGGAAACGAUGUGGGAAGGCCCAGACAGCCAGGAUGUUGGCUUAGAAGCAGCCAUCAUUUAAAGAAAGCGUAAUAGCUCACUGGUCGAGUCGGCCUGCGCGGAAGAUGUAACGGGGCUAAACCAUGCACCGAAGCUGCGGCAGCGACGCUUAUGCGUUGUUGGGUAGGGGAGCGUUCUGUAAGCCUGUGAAGGUGUGCUGUGAGGCAUGCUGGAGGUAUCAGAAGUGCGAAUGCUGACAUAAGUAACGAUAAAGCGGGUGAAAAGCCCGCUCGCCGGAAGACCAAGGGUUCCUGUCCAACGUUAAUCGGGGCAGGGUGAGUCGACCCCUAAGGCGAGGCCGAAAGGCGUAGUCGAUGGGAAACAGGUUAAUAUUCCUGUACUUGGUGUUACUGCGAAGGGGGGACGGAGAAGGCUAUGUUGGCCGGGCGACGGUUGUCCCGGUUUAAGCGUGUAGGCUGGUUUUCCAGGCAAAUCCGGAAAAUCAAGGCUGAGGCGUGAUGACGAGGCACUACGGUGCUGAAGCAACAAAUGCCCUGCUUCCAGGAAAAGCCUCUAAGCAUCAGGUAACAUCAAAUCGUACCCCAAACCGACACAGGUGGUCAGGUAGAGAAUACCAAGGCGCUUGAGAGAACUCGGGUGAAGGAACUAGGCAAAAUGGUGCCGUAACUUCGGGAGAAGGCACGCUGAUAUGUAGGUGAAGUCCCUCGCGGAUGGAGCUGAAAUCAGUCGAAGAUACCAGCUGGCUGCAACUGUUUAUUAAAAACACAGCACUGUGCAAACACGAAAGUGGACGUAUACGGUGUGACGCCUGCCCGGUGCCGGAAGGUUAAUUGAUGGGGUUAGCGCAAGCGAAGCUCUUGAUCGAAGCCCCGGUAAACGGCGGCCGUAACUAUAACGGUCCUAAGGUAGCGAAAUUCCUUGUCGGGUAAGUUCCGACCUGCACGAAUGGCGUAAUGAUGGCCAGGCUGUCUCCACCCGAGACUCAGUGAAAUUGAACUCGCUGUGAAGAUGCAGUGUACCCGCGGCAAGACGGAAAGACCCCGUGAACCUUUACUAUAGCUUGACACUGAACAUUGAGCCUUGAUGUGUAGGAUAGGUGGGAGGCUUUGAAGUGUGGACGCCAGUCUGCAUGGAGCCGACCUUGAAAUACCACCCUUUAAUGUUUGAUGUUCUAACGUUGACCCGUAAUCCGGGUUGCGGACAGUGUCUGGUGGGUAGUUUGACUGGGGCGGUCUCCUCCUAAAGAGUAACGGAGGAGCACGAAGGUUGGCUAAUCCUGGUCGGACAUCAGGAGGUUAGUGCAAUGGCAUAAGCCAGCUUGACUGCGAGCGUGACGGCGCGAGCAGGUGCGAAAGCAGGUCAUAGUGAUCCGGUGGUUCUGAAUGGAAGGGCCAUCGCUCAACGGAUAAAAGGUACUCCGGGGAUAACAGGCUGAUACCGCCCAAGAGUUCAUAUCGACGGCGGUGUUUGGCACCUCGAUGUCGGCUCAUCACAUCCUGGGGCUGAAGUAGGUCCCAAGGGUAUGGCUGUUCGCCAUUUAAAGUGGUACGCGAGCUGGGUUUAGAACGUCGUGAGACAGUUCGGUCCCUAUCUGCCGUGGGCGCUGGAGAACUGAGGGGGGCUGCUCCUAGUACGAGAGGACCGGAGUGGACGCAUCACUGGUGUUCGGGUUGUCAUGCCAAUGGCACUGCCCGGUAGCUAAAUGCGGAAGAGAUAAGUGCUGAAAGCAUCUAAGCACGAAACUUGCCCCGAGAUGAGUUCUCCCUGACCCUUUAAGGGUCCUGAAGGAACGUUGAAGACGACGACGUUGAUAGGCCGGGUGUGUAAGCGCAGCGAUGCGUUGAGCUAACCGGUACUAAUGAACCGUGAGGCUUAACCUUACAACGCCGAAGCUGUUUUG